AGCAGUAGCCGCGGGAAUACGUAGGGUGCAAGCGUUAAUCGGAAUUACUGGGCGUAAAGCGUGCGCAGGCGGUUAUAUAAGACAGAUGUGAAAUCCCCGGGCUCAACCUGGGAACUGCAUUUGUGACUGUAUAGCUAGAGUACGGGAGAGGGGGAUGGAAUUCCGCGUGUAGCAGUGAAAUGCGUAGAUAUGCGGAGGAACACCGAUGGCGAAGGCAAUCCCCUGGGCCUGUACUGACGCUCAUGCACGAAAGCGUGGGGAGCAAACAGGAUUAGAUACCCCUGUAGUCCCUGUCUCUUAUAA
Molecule: ribosomal RNA, 303 nt
Filed under: uncultured bacterium
Lineage: Bacteria
Description: partial 16S ribosomal RNA
Rfam family: Bacterial small subunit ribosomal RNA
Source: RNAcentral